AUGCAGGGUAUGGCAUUGGCAAUCCAACACUCGUCUUUACCGGUGGUUGUUUAGUCAGAUUCAACAGAGGCGCUUUCUUGCUUGUUGAACCGGGGACUCGAGCGCUCAGCUUAUGGGCAUUUGGUUAGUGAGAUCAAAGAGUUAAUGUCUGGUAGGGAGUUUUAUCCGCAGAAAAUUUCUCGUAGUCAAAAUAGAGUUGCAGAUCGUUUGGCCAAUUAUAGCCGCACCGAGAGCACAACUGCUGUGUGGUUGACCUCGGCUCCACCAUGUAUCGAGGAAAUAUGGCCUAUCGAUGUAACAAUGUUACUCAUUAAUAAAACUCCCUUAUCCUCGCAAAAAAAAUGA
RNAcentral lists this ribosomal RNA (345 nucleotides) under Triticum aestivum (bread wheat). RNAcentral's name for it is "partial small subunit ribosomal RNA". Lineage: Eukaryota; Viridiplantae; Streptophyta; Magnoliopsida; Poales; Poaceae. The record is from RNAcentral.